GACGAACGCUGGCGGCGUGCUUAACACAUGCAAGUCGAACGGAAAGGCUCCAGCUUGCUGGUGUACUCAAGUGGCGAACGGGGGAGUAACACGUGGGUAAAAUGCCCUGCACUCGGGGAUAAGCCUGGGAAACUGGGACUAAUACUGGAUAUGUCCUUUCACCUCAUGGGGUUGGGUGGAAAGUCUUUCGGGGUAGGCUGAGGCCGCGGCCUAUCAGCUUGUUGGUGGGGUGAUGGCCUACCAAGGCGACGACGGGUAGCCGGCCUGGGAGGGUGAUCGGCCACCAUGGGCCUGAGGUACGGCGCAGACUGCUACGUUAGGCAGCAGUGGGAAAUCUUGCACAGUGGGCGGAAGCCUGAUGCGGCGGCGCCGCGUGUGGGAUGACGUCCUUCGGGUUGUAAACCUCAUGCAGCAGGGACGAAGCGUAAGUGACGUUACCUGCAGAAGAAGCACCGGCUAACUACGUG
This 467-nucleotide ribosomal RNA is filed under the name uncultured bacterium. RNAcentral describes it as "partial 16S ribosomal RNA". It matches the Rfam family "Bacterial small subunit ribosomal RNA", at positions 28 to 507 of the family's 1533-position model. The record is from RNAcentral.